UAGCCUUUUAUCACUUUAGUUUACCUUUCAGAAUUUGUAAUAUCAACCUCUCUUUUAGGGCCUUCUUGGUAAAUCAAUGUUUACCCUCCCCAACACCUGUCACCAUCUUCAUCUUCUCUCUGUCUAUCCUUGUUCUCUGUAUCAUCUUUCCUUUGCUCUAGUAGAAGAAUCGUCUUCAACUUCAUCCGGUUAAUGGUUGGUUUGCCAUUAGGUUGUUCUACAAUUUUAGUAAAUAGACAAAAAUUUUGUUGACACAUGAAACUGCAAAAUCAAACCGUUUGUGUUUCUGCUAAUAUCUUUUUAAGUGUGGCAAAACAGCUCAACAGGGUACUUCUCCAGAGCCCCCAAGAAUCGCAGUGGAUAAAUCAGUGGAAUUUUCAUAUGAAGAACUUGCUAACGAAACCAACAACUUCAGUCUGUUUACUAUGCAGAGUUAAGAGGCGAGAAUGUCAAAUCUACCUAGAUGAAAUUGUUAACUGCUUGUGCACCUGUGUAGAAAUUCUUGGAGCACCAAAUUACAAAGCUUUUUGUUACUUGAAAUGCAGAAUGGCAAACAAACGAUCCAACAAGAAGCAUUAGGGGCAUUGGCUUCUUUAGCCCAAUCUGCUAAGAAACAACGUUAAGCUCUUGCCUUUCCUGCUGCAAUUUUAUAGCUGCAUGAUGAUGCCCAAGCUUUGCAGGUUUGUAAUUCUUCUGUGGAUCCCGCAGCAUUCCUAGCUGCUAUCGAAUCAGGAACUGUAAGGGUUUAUUUCAGAGAAAAAUGAUUCUGCGAGGUAACAUGCGAAGUUGCCAAGGUGAAUAUGCGUACUCGAAAAACGAUGAGGAUGAAAAGGAUGACAGCAAUAAUUGAAUCAUCUAUUGUGUGCAAGGUAUAAUUCAUGAUUCACUUUCAUUUGCAAUUUACAGUCUUUCUGUGAUGAAUAUUUGUCGUACCUAAUUUAUCUACAUGGCACACUACAACCAGUUGGAGGCCACCUUAGUUGAUGCAACAGUAGCAAUAUGUUUGAUAAUUUUGGUUCAAUGUGAUGGGUCUUGAGAAGCUGAUUGCAAUAGCUAAAGACAAUAUACGCUUCCUUGGAAAUGUGCCGCAACAGAAAAGGCACGAAAUUUGCAAGAAUCUUAAUGUUAAGUUGCAUGACCAACUCAUUUGAGGCUAUGAUUGGAUCUGUAGAUUGAGACAUCUAGCUCUUCCGAUAGAGGAAUCAAAUCAAGCACAAGUAGUAUCACUAGAAAUUUCCGAUAAAUAUCGAGUGGUUUGACUAAGCAUAUUCAGUACUACUGGAAGACACCUUCAAGAGUACUCUUUCUUUUUGGGAAACAAUGGCAUUUCUAAACUGCUUCUUUCUGCCUUUUUGUUGGUAUUUACUGCAGUAAAUAUUCAAUUUUGGGGUUUUCAGGAGAUGGGUGAGAAUGUAUAAUCAGUCAAUGUGCUGCUUCUGCCGUCUAAUUUUAUAAACUAGAAAAAAUCAUUUUUAUCUGAAUUUCCUCUUCAAAAUGAUAAAAGAAUUAUAUUUGGUGAAGUACUUACAAGUGAUUAGAGAAGUCUAUGACAACUAAUGCAAUUUUAAUUAUUCAUUAUUGAUACACUGUCUAUAAAUUCGCAUCCUAGGUUUUUUUUCUUUCAGUUGUUUUGCUAUAGGAAAUGGCGUAAUAGCUGCUUUGGUUUGUUGAGUAAAGCACGAGUAAUGAAGCCCCUUAGCCAACCCACAUCUACCGCAACGCGCGCGCACGGAAACAAACAUAGAGAGAACUUUAGAAAGUUGAUUUUUCUUCCUCAAUAAGCAAGCAAUUGGAUGAGUUCUGAAUCUUCUGAUAUCGCUUGCUCUCUUAUGUUCCUUCUUUUUUGUGGAAAAUUUACCUUUUCUAUUCUUACCUUUAUCCGACUUGCAUCUCACUGGUUACAUGUUUCUGUUGUAAAGAUCUUAUUAUUCCCUAUCCUUGCAAAUGUGUACAUAAUAUGUUUAUUUGUUACAAAUGGAUGGUGAAGCUUAACUCCUUGCCGAAGGACUAUUACAUGUAACUUUUCUUUAGGAUUAUCUAAUUGUUUACCUGGCAUGAAACUGUUUUCUCUUGUAGCUUUCGAAUGGAAUCUAUUAUUUUCUCUGUGAUUAUAAUUUUUUUAUAUGUUCUGCUUUUCCCGAGAUUCAUGGAGAGUGCAAGUGAAGCAGACUUCAGAUAAGCAUGUCAUUAUAACAAGUGAAUUUCCGAAUACGAGGACUGAAAUUCUGUCGUUUAUGUUAAAGUAGAUUUUGAAGGAAAAAAUGUAUACAAUGGAGAAACAGUUGGAGGAAUUGAGGAAAAAGGUUCGUUAUAUGGAAGGUGAAAAUGGGUCGGAAAGUGAAGCAGGUUUUGAGAAAACUAUAGGAGAUUUAGGUGGCCAUCAAGAAGAAGAUUAAUUAUUGUGAAUUGUUUCCUUCUGGCUUCUGUAUAGGUUUGUUUUAUAUUUAGGUGGUAGAAUGUAGAUCUUAUCAGAUAUUACUACGUCUUGUUGUUUUGUCUUGUUAGCUUUUGAUGUGUAGAAGUAGUAUAAGUGGCCGGCCUAAGAUUUUGUGCAA
Molecule: non-coding RNA, 2555 nt
Organism: Nicotiana tabacum (common tobacco)
Lineage: Eukaryota; Viridiplantae; Streptophyta; Magnoliopsida; Solanales; Solanaceae
Source: RefSeq, a predicted model, not a curated record